Molecule: long non-coding RNA, 2184 nt
Organism: Phasianus colchicus (ring-necked pheasant)
Lineage: Eukaryota; Metazoa; Chordata; Aves; Galliformes; Phasianidae
Source: Ensembl
AUGCACUGGCUUCAGGGAAGGUAUCAGACCGCUUGUCCCAUCAACAUGUUAAGGGAAACAGAAGAAGAAAGGAACAUGUUGGUAAGAAGUUUCAGCUCUGAUUUCCCAAACUGGGAAGGACAAGAAAUGAAUGGUGAAUCACCACAAAAUGGUAGCUCAUUCUUCGCAGCUUAUGCAAAAUCGGAGGCGAUGACUGGGAGAAGAGCAGUGCAGGGAACAUAUCGGUCUGGUUUUGAGUACUCCCAAAUAUCAGGCCAGCGCAAUGGAGCAGAUGCUGAAAGAAAAAGCCAUAGGCACAUUUAAAGAUGCACUGAAAACCCAGUGCAGCACAGGAUGAGAGCUCCAGACCUCCUGAGUCCUUGCAGCUUUGAAGUGGAAGCUCCAGCUGGACAGUCCCCAGAAAAGCUUAAUCCUGCAAGAUAGGCUAACAACCUCUUCCAGCACAGGCCUAAAGGAAGCACAAGCUGCUCUACAAACACUCUGCUCUUUCCUCAUCACUGCAGGAUCCCAGCAGCUCUCAGCAGCGCGUUAAACAGCGUGCUUACCAUUUAUCAUGUGACAUUUUCCCUGUAGCUGGAGGGAGAAGUUGUAUCUGCCAGAAAAUGCCCUUUCGCUAAGCGGUAUUUUUCUUCUCAAUAUAUAGCUACAUCUUCUGCAGUUUGAACGGGAGAUAAAAGAUCUUACACUCUGGGGGACACCCCAUGUGCAAUGUGCUUCUGAUGAUGCUCCCAGCUGUGGCUGAUCCUGUGCUUGUAGCUGUAACUUGGGCAACCUGUGCCGUUUUCACAGGACUCUCAUAAAAAAUGCCAGAAUAUAUUGACUGAGCCCAUUCUGGGGCUCGACACCCAGCCUGUGUUUCUGAGCGUCGUUCUUGUGGCCGGAGCUUCGCAGCUGGGCUUCCUGGUGUGGUGGAAGCAGAGGGAUUUUUGGGAAACCUUUCAUUUGUUGCUUGCUCAAGGAUGACAGCAGGCAGGCAGGGAGUGUGUGUGUUCUGUGCCCUAAAGCUAUCGCUUUGUUACUCUGGGCAGAGAAAGAGUUCUCAGGAGAGAGGAAUAGCAACUAGAUGCUGAGGCUGACCUUCAGGCUAUGUAGGUUUGUCACAUCUGUUGUUCUCUUUCCAAAGCAAGACUCCUGGGGAGAGCUAAUGCCCUUUAUCAGACCAGCAACGCUCUUUUCAGUUGUGGACAAUGGGACCAGUGCAGUGCCUCGUGCAGAGCUCUUCCCUCUGCCUCCACCCUCUUUCUAAGAGCAAAAACGCCUGAAUGCGAUCAGAAGAAAAGAGAAAAAGGAAACAAGAUAAACUGUGUAAUCCCACUUCAAAGGCUCCUCGAGUUAGGUGGCUCUGGAUGUCCCCUGUUCCCACACGUGUCCCCGUGUACCUGCUGCGUGCAGGGCUGGGCAGAUGAGGUGCAGAGAGCAGGGGCUGCCACGUGUCCUUGCUUCCAAAGUCCUCUUGUGACAGCAUUCUGUCUUCUUUUCCUGCCUGCAUAGAAUCACAGAAUCACAGAAUUGCCAGGGUUGGAAGGGACCUCAAGGAUCAUGAAUCUCCAACCCCCCUGCCACAUGCAGGGCCACCAGUCAUCCCACCUAAUGCUAGACCAGGCUGCCCAGGGCCCCAUCCAAUCUGGUCUUGAACACCUCCAGGGAUGGGGCAUCCACAACCUCUCUGGGCAGCUGUUCCAGUAACUGCAUGCUGCAGUUGCAAUCUUUAGCUGUCUCCUGAAAGCAGCAUCAUAGGUCUGGCCCAUAACCUGUAGAUUGUUGUUGGUGUGGAUAUGGAAUCAUGUGUAAUGCCAGAGCUGGCAGGCUCCUGGGGGACCACAGCAUCACACACAUGGAGGGUGGGAGACAGGCGAACACCAGGGCUGGAGGCUGGAGAUGACUCACGUCUGCUAUCGUCUGCUUCAGCCUCAUUUCUCCACGUCUCACUUUCUUUAUCUGCAAAAUGGGAAUGGUGUUCCAUUUCACUCUGGGAGAUAUAAGUGAAGAAGGCUAGGUAGGAAUUAACAGCUUUUCCAAAUACGGCGUCGCUAAAAGCUUUUGAAGAGACAUAGAAAAAGAUUUAUAUUUCAGUAUCUGACAAACAGAAGAAAGGAUGUGUCUGUUUGAUCUGUACUUCUGCCAUGCCUUCAUUAAAGAUGUGAGACCAAUAAAUGGUGCUUUCCAAAGACCCUGAAGAAAAAA